AAGUCGUAACAAGGUUUCCGUAGGUGAACCUGCGGAAGGAUCAUUACCAUAUGUGACACCCACUUACCACUUGUGAACCGAGUCUCAUGUCCUUGGGGGAGACGGAACUUGAUUGGUUGAAAAUGGUUCCAGUGCAGUGACAGCGAAAUCUGUCCUGUGUUGUCCUACCCUUUUCUUCUGUCUCUUUCCUCUUCCCCAGCGGUACGCCUGUCAGCUGCAUGCAGUUGGCUGUUGUAUACGCACCUGAUGUAAACCACAUGUACAAUGUUUAAACAGGUUGAAAUAAUAUUUUCUCUUUUUGAGAAAUCAAAAAGAAUUCUGACAACUUUUAACGGUGGAUCUCUUGGCUCGU
Molecule: unclassified non-coding RNA, 352 nt
Filed under: fungal sp.
Lineage: Eukaryota; Fungi
Description: partial internal transcribed spacer region
Rfam family: Eukaryotic small subunit ribosomal RNA (bases 1-46)
Source: RNAcentral